RNAcentral lists this ribosomal RNA (437 nucleotides) under bacterium Ellin5284. Its description in RNAcentral is "bacterial SSU rRNA". It matches the Rfam family "Bacterial small subunit ribosomal RNA", at positions 28 to 476 of the family's 1533-position model. Lineage: Bacteria; Bacillati; Actinomycetota; Actinomycetes. The record is from RNAcentral.
GACGAACGCUGGCGGCGUGCUUAACACAUGCAAGUCGAGCGAGGCCCYUUCCUUCSGGAAAGGUGCCCUACCGGCGAACGGGUGAGUACCACGUGGGCAACCUGCCCCUAGCACUGGGAUAACUCCGGGAAACCGGGGCUAAUACSGGAUACGACCUCAGCAGGCAUCCUGCGGAGGUGGAAAGWUUAUCGGCUAGGGAUGGGCCCGCGGCCUAUCAGCUUUGUUGUGGGGUAAGGGCCCACCAAGGCUUCGACGGGUAGCCGGCCUGAGAGGGCGACCGGCCACACUGGGACUGAGACACGGCCCAGACUCCUACGGGAGGCAGCAGUGGGGAAUAUUGCACAAUGGGCGAAAGCCUGAUGCAGCGACGCCGCGUGAGGGAUGACUGCCUUCGGGNUGUAAACCUCUUUCAGCAGGGACGAAGCGAAAGUGACGGU